GACGAACGCUGGCGGCGUGCUUAACACAUGCAAGUCGAACGGAAAGGCCCUGCUUUUGUGGGGUGCUCGAGUGGCGAACGGGUGAGUAACACGUGAGUAACCUGCCCUUGACUUUGUGAUAACUUCAGGAAACUGGGGCUAAUACCGGAUAGGAGCUCCUGCUGCAUGGUGGGGUUUGGAACGUUUCGGCGGUUGGGGAUGGACUCGCGGCUUAUCAGCUUGUUGGUGGGGUAGUGGCUUACCAAGGCUUUGACGGGUAGCCGGCCUGAGAGGGUGACCGGCCACAUUGGGACUGAGAUACGGCCCAGACUCCUACGGGAGGCAGCAGUGGGGAAUAUUGCACAAUGGGCGGAAGCCUGAUGCAGCAACGCCGCGUGCGGGAUGACGGCCUUCGGGUUGUAAACCGCUUUCGCCUGUGACGAAGCGUGAGUGACGGUAAUGGGUAAAGAAGCACCGGCUAACUACGUG
This 468-nucleotide ribosomal RNA is filed under the name uncultured bacterium. RNAcentral's name for it is "partial 16S ribosomal RNA". It matches the Rfam family "Bacterial small subunit ribosomal RNA", at positions 28 to 507 of the family's 1533-position model. The record is from RNAcentral.